RNAcentral lists this ribosomal RNA (492 nucleotides) under uncultured bacterium. RNAcentral's name for it is "partial 16S ribosomal RNA". It matches the Rfam family "Bacterial small subunit ribosomal RNA", at positions 29 to 507 of the family's 1533-position model. The record is from RNAcentral.
AGUGAACGCUGGCGGUAGGCCUAAUACAUGCCAGUCGAACGACAGCACGGUGAGCUCGUGCUCUUACGGGUGGCGACUGGCGGACGGGUGAGAAGUACAUCGGAAUCUACUUUUUCGUGGAUGAUAACGUAGGGCAACUUACACUAAUACCGCAUAUGACCUACGGCUGAAAGCAGUGGAUCUUCGGACCUUGCCCGACUGUAUUAGCCGGUGCCGCAUUAGCUAGUUGGCGAGGUAAAGGCCCACCAAGGCAACGAUCCGUAGCUGGUCUGAGAGGAUGAUCAGCCACACUGGAACUGAGACACGGUCCAGACUCCUACGGGAGGCAGCAGUGGGGAAUAUUGCACAAUGGGCGAAAGCCUGACCCAGCCAUACCGCGUGAGUGAAGAAGGUCUUCGGGUUGUAAAGCCCUUUUAUUGGGAAAGAACAGCAGCAGGUUAAUACCCCGCUGUUCUGACGGUACCCAAAGAAUAAGCACCGGCUAACUUCGUG